GGGCUUAUGGUACAGUGGUAACACACCGCAUUCGCAUUGCGGAGACGCGAGUUCGAUUCUCGCUAAGUCCA
RNAcentral lists this transfer RNA (71 nucleotides) under Candidatus Falkowiibacteriota bacterium. RNAcentral describes it as "Candidatus Falkowbacteria bacterium tRNA-Ala". It matches the Rfam family "tRNA". Rfam says of the family: Transfer RNA (tRNA) molecules are approximately 80 nucleotides in length. Their secondary structure includes four short double-helical elements and three loops (D, anti-codon, and T loops). Further hydrogen bonds mediate the characteristic L-shaped molecular structure. tRNAs have two regions of fundamental functional importance: the anti-codon, which is responsible for specific mRNA codon recognition, and the 3' end, to which the tRNAs corresponding amino acid is attached (by aminoacyl-tRNA synthetases). tRNAs cope with the degeneracy of the genetic code in two manners: having more than one tRNA (with a specific anti-codon) for a particular amino acid; and 'wobble' base-pairing, i.e. permitting non-standard base-pairing at the 3rd anti-codon position. Lineage: Bacteria; Candidatus Falkowiibacteriota. The record is from RNAcentral.